UUUUGGGGUGGCUCAGUGAGUGAAGGAUCUGGCAUUGUCACUGCUGUGGUUCAGACUGCAACUGUGGUGAAGGUCUGAUCCCUGGCCUGGGACCUUCCAUAUGCUACAGGCACGACCGAAAAAAAAAAAAAAACACUAAAGAAGAGGAAGUUUUGCCUUUCGAUAUUAAACUGUGCAUCACACCCUCCAGACUGUCCAGUUCUGGCACUGUUCAUUGUCUUUGAGCCAUUUUACACCUCUUUGUAACUGUAGGUAAAUGAGAAGUAUGCAAAUCUGUAUUGUCUGGUAGUUUCCUUCGACUUCCUUAACUCAGGGGGAAAAACAGUUUUGUCUCCAUUUGUAAUUCAACCCCUUAUUUCAUUUGUAUUUGUAUUCCUUGGACUUUUCCUCUGAACCAGUUGUAACAUCUGUCUGAUUCCCUUGCUAAUUAAAGGGUAAAAUAAAAUCUUUAAGGUGUUCAUUCUUGCAUCCAUUCACGUGACAGUCAUGCUCUUGCUUCUUUCUGAAAAUUAUUUGUUUAACAAGGCCCUAAAGGUAACUACUAGAUAAGAAACACAAACCUUCCAAAUUAUCACUGAAAGUACAAACACAAUAAUAAGACAAAACUAAUAGGAGACAGGAGGGAAGGGGGUAGGGAACAACCUUUAAAAAAAAUAACAUUAAAAAAAAAAUGACAUAGCAGGAGUUCCCAUCAUGGUGCAGUGGAAAUAAAUCCAACUAGGGACCAUGAGGUUGUGAUUUCGAUCCCUGGGUUCACUCAGUGGGUUAAGGAUCCAGUUGCCAUGAGCUAUGGUAUAGGCCCACAGCUAUAGCUCUGAUUCGACCUCUAGCCUGGGAACCCCCAUCUGCUGCAGGUAUGGCCCUAAAAAGAAAAAGAAGAAGAAGAAAUAAUGACACUGCAGAAUUCCUGUUGUGGCUCAACAGGUUAAGAACACAGCAUAGUAUCCACGAGGAUGCAGCCUCGAUUCCUGGCCUUGCUAGGUGGAUUAAGGAUCUGACAUUGCCUUGGCUGUGGCGUAGGCUGGCAGCUCCAACUCUAAUUUGACCCCUAGAUCAGAACUUCCAUAUGCCACAAAUUUGGCCAUAAAAAAGGAGGGAGGAGUUCCCGUUGUGGCACAGUGGCUAAUGAGUCCUACUAGGAACCAUGAGGUUGCGGGUUCAAUCCCCGGCNGCUGNUGCCGUGAGCUGUGGUGUAGGUCACAGAGGCAGCUCGGAUCCCGAGUUGCUGUGGCUCUGUCGUAAGCUGGUGGCUACACCUCCGAUUAGACCCCUAGCCUGGGAACCUCCAUGUGCCUUGGGAGUGGCCCUAGAAAAGGCAAAAAGACAAAAAAAAAUGGGUGGGGGGAGAAAGAAUGACAUAGCUGUUGAGGAUACAACAUAAACUUGUUAGAACCAAUAUUGGCAGAAGAUUUAACUUCCAGUAAACCUUGAGCCUCAUUUUAUGCUCGUUGUAAUAUAGUAACAAUUAGAUGACACACCCACAGGUGCCACACAGUUCCCAGGCUGACCACGAAAGGCCAAAAAGUGGGUGGGGGCCCAAUUCCUGAGAAUCUCCACCCCUUCUCCAAAGUGGCUGAAAUAAUCCUACUUGUUACCCUAUGAGUUUAUGCUGCUCAUAAAAACUAACCACCCCAUAUUUCAGGGCCUCUCACCUUCUGAGAUGGCCCACAUUCUGUCUGUGGUGUGUGUAUCUCUCUCAGUAAACUCGCUUAACUCUUGGAGUCGAGCCCCCUUGCCUGCCCACCUGUACCCCUCACAGUGUCCUAUAGUAAUAAAAUCACAUUUUGCCUGUCACUUUGCCUCUCACUAAUAUCUUCCAUUCUGAGACAUAAAGAACUUGAGCUUUAGUAAGUCCUGAACCAGGUGAGUGAUUUAAUUAAAAGAUACUGAGUUUGAGUCCCAAUCUGUGGGUUCAAGUCUCAAUUUGAGUUUUGUCUGGAUUCAAAUCACAUCUGAGGUAUGAUUGGGUUUGAGUUCCAAUCUGGGACCAGGUGUGCACUUUCAAAUAGACUCAAACAUAACUGUCACACCCAUAAGUUCAACAAGACCAAACUCACCUGUUCAAAGAAACUUUCAAUAUUAGAUCACAAAGAGAACCUAAUGAUGAAGUGAUUAAGAAAGAUUGAAAACAAAAGGAUGAGAAAAAGUGUUUUUACUAAGUAAAAGUUUAACAGAGAUAAUUAUCCUAAUACUGGACCUCACUCACUUUUAUAUGCAAUUUAAAAGUACAAUAAAGGGAAUUUCCGUUAUGGUGUUGCGGAAACCGCAAAAACCGUGGCAAUGGAAGGAGACAAACAGCACUCGGAGAUAUGGAAAAGCAAAGUUUAUUCAGCACCGGUGUGGGCUCAGAGGAGUCACCUCCAGAGUCUGAGCACCAGGUCUUUGUUCUCAGUAACUUUUAUACACUACAAGGUCUUGAUUUUCCCAUGUAAGCAUCCCGGACCUCCCCCCAUUCCCAAGCAGAAAGUGUUCCUCCUUAGGAAACUGAGCAAGCAAGGUUACAGAAGCAGAACUGAUAAGUAAUGCUGGGUACAUGAUUAGUAGGGCUGCUGGCUUGGACACAGGGCACUCAGUUGUUACAUUAUUACAAGAAGGGUGGUAUAGUGAUGAGCAAAGCUGGAAAGGCUUGCAGCUGCCUUCUUAGCCGGGGGUGGGGGUGGGGUGGGGUGGGGGGGUUGUUCUUUAGUUAAAAUUCUAUUUCAAUGGCUCAGUGGUAACCCACCUGAAUAGCAUCCAUGAGGAUGCCAGUUCGACCCCUGGUCCUGCUCAGUUGCCAUGCGCAGCAGUGUAGGCCACAGAAGCAGCUCAGAGCUGGCAUUGCUAUGGCUGUGGUGUAGGCAAUAAUACAACCCCUAGCCUGGCAAUUUCCAUACACCUAGCGUGUGGCCCUAAAAAGAUAAAUAAAUAAAUAAAUCUACAAUAAGUUUUUAAAUAGGCAAGUGAAAAGAUGCUUAAUAUCAUAAGUCAUCAGCGAAAUACCAAUCAAAGCCACAGUGAGAUCCAACUUCAGGUCCACUAAGACAGCUGUAAUAAAAAAACAAGUGUUGGCAAGGCUGUGGAGAAACUGGAAUCCUCCUACACUCCCGGUGUUACCUGACACAUGUUCCUAUGCCCAACACACAGUGAGGCCAAACAAACUGAAAUGUCAGAGUCUGGAGCAGGGCCAAGCAAGAACGGGUGGCUCGUGCUCAAAAGCCCCAAACGUCCUGAUGGCUUUCAGGGAUGGGAUUUUAUAGGCAAAAUUUCAGGUGGGGCUGCAGGGCGUGUGACUUUCUUCAGAUUGGUUAGCGUGAGGCAGUGUUCCAGGAAUCUACACUCAACCUGAAGUUGCUAUCCUCCACCUGGGUGGGGCCUUGGAACUCAAAAGAUAUUGUUAGCAUAUCCCUUGAACAGGAACCAGAUCCUGCUUUAAUAACUGCGCUACUAUUUCUUGAUUGCUCUAGUCAUUUCCUCACUUCCCUGAUUUUAACUGUUUGAAUCUGUUCUUUGGUAUUUGAGAAGAUCUGAAUAAAGGCUGUAAAUGAGAAAAUGAAGCCAAGGAAAGGAUUUGUACCCAGGAGCCCCACAGAGUCCAGCUUGGUUUUGUUUUUGUUUUGUUUUUUAUUUAUUUUUUGCUCCUUAAGGCCAUACCUGUGGCAUAUGGAGGUUCCCAGGCUAGGGGUGGAAUAGGAGCUACAGCAGCUGAUCUGAGCCACAUUUGCGACCUACACCACAGCUCACAGCUCAAACGCACAUACUCACAGAGACAAUACAGGUCCUUAACCUGCUGAGUCACGAGGGGAACUCCUGAAUGAAUGGGUGAACUCCAUCCUUAGCCCAGGAAUUUACUGUUGAGUGGAAAUCUCAUCUCAGUUCAACACCCACUCACUGAAAACCUAUUAGGGGCCAAGAUCGGGCUCAGUGUGAGCAAUCCACAAAGACCUGCCCCCCGUGGUUGAGGCACUUAUAGGAGAAUAGGCACCUCUGCCAGGUCCUGUGAGGGGCGAGGAUGAGAAAGGAGACCUAAUUCCUCCCUGGAGAAGUCUACUGAUGCAGUAGUGGGGAGAAGAAAAUGGAAAACAUGUGAAAAGGAACUUGGAGACAAACACAAUUCCAAGUACAGUUGUUUCGUACACAAAUAAAACAGACUGUUAAACUAUUCUCUUGGCCUUUGUUUAGGAAAUGAUUCACGUCAUUCUGCUAAUUACGUUGGAUGGAGAUAGUGUUACUUGGGCUUCAUUUAUACACCUGAGCCUGAGGAGCGCCCGUCCCCUGGGCACUCAGGCCUGCUGACAGGUGUUGCUGGUCCCCCUCCUGGCAGCCCUUAGGACAGAUGUGUAGACUUUGAAAUGCCUGGUGGGACAGCCUCUGUGCCUCAGUCAGGGUCCCUUAAGCCAGAAGAGCCAAAGAUGUACUGAACUCCACGGUAACCUCGACAAAGUAAGUAAAUAAAAGGGAGAUUUGAUUACAAGUUUUCAAUGCAUAGGAAUUCAAGAGAUGUAAACCAGCUGUAACAAAAAAUAGAAAUCAUUAAAAACUUUU
RNAcentral lists this long non-coding RNA (4521 nucleotides) under Sus scrofa (pig). RNAcentral describes it as "lncRNA (ENSSSCG00045031945.1)". The record is from RNAcentral. Lineage: Eukaryota; Metazoa; Chordata; Mammalia; Artiodactyla; Suidae.